This 400-nucleotide ribosomal RNA is filed under the name uncultured Rhodococcus sp. RNAcentral's name for it is "bacterial SSU rRNA". It matches the Rfam family "Bacterial small subunit ribosomal RNA", at positions 978 to 1382 of the family's 1533-position model. The record is from RNAcentral. Lineage: Bacteria; Bacillati; Actinomycetota; Actinomycetes; Mycobacteriales; Nocardiaceae.
GACAAUACAACCGGAAAACCGUAGAGACUACGGUCCCCUUGUGGUCGGUGUACAGGUGGUGCAUGGCUGUCGUCAGCUCGUGUCGUGAGAUGUUGGGUUAAGUCCCGCAACGAGCGCAACCCUUGUCUUAUGUUGCCAGCACGUGAUGGUGGGGACUCGUAAGAGACUGCCGGGGUCAACUCGGAGGAAGGUGGGGACGACGUCAAGUCAUCAUGCCCUUAUGUCCAGGGCUUCACACAUGCUACAAUGGCCAGUACAGAGGGCUGCGAGACCGUGAGGUGGAGCGAAUCCCUUAAAGCUGGUCUCAGUUCGGAUCGGGGUCUGCAACUCGACCCCGUGAAGUCGGAGUCGCUAGUAAUCGCAGAUCAGCAACGCUGCGGUGAAUACGUUCCCGGGCCUU